UGACAGUCGAGCGGCAGCGGGAAGUAGCUUGCUACUUUGCCGGCGAGCGGCGGACGGGUGAGUAAUGUCUGGGAAACUGCCUGAUGGAGGGGGAUAACUACUGGAAACGGUAGCUAAUACCGCAUGACCUCGAAAGAGCAAAGUGGGGGAUCUUCGGACCUCACGCCAUCGGAUGUGCCCAGAUGGGAUUAGCUAGUAGGUGAGGUAAUGGCUCACCUAGGCGACGAUCCCUAGCUGGUCUGAGAGGAUGACCAGCCACACUGGAACUGAGACACGGUCCAGACUCCUACGGGAGGCAGCAGUGGGGAAUAUUGCACAAUGGGCGCAAGCCUGAUGCAGCCAUGCCGCGUGUGUGAA
This 357-nucleotide ribosomal RNA is filed under the name Rahnella sp. RNAcentral's name for it is "bacterial SSU rRNA". It matches the Rfam family "Bacterial small subunit ribosomal RNA", at positions 56 to 409 of the family's 1533-position model. Lineage: Bacteria; Pseudomonadati; Pseudomonadota; Gammaproteobacteria; Enterobacterales; Yersiniaceae. The record is from RNAcentral.